CUCUCCCUCUCUUUAAAAAAAAAAAAAGAAAAAUUGUUUCCCUCUACUCUUUAUAGUUCUUAUUAAACUAUAAGUAAUACUACAUUAAACAGAGUGGGGCUUAUUUAAGAAGAAAGAGAACUCCGUCUACUCUUUAUAGUUCUUAGUUGGGAUAAAUUUCCAUAACAAGAUUGACAAGAGAAAAACAAAAGUGUAUUACAAUGUUUAUGUAUACAUGGUAGAUAUGCAGGGGCAAGUGAGAAUCUCAAAGAUAUGGCUUUGAGUUCAAGGCUAAAUACCAUUUUCAACUGAAAUAAAGAAAGAAAGGGGCUAGGGAUGUAGCUCAGUUGGUAGAGUGCUUCCCAUUUGUUGGAAAAAUCCCAAACAAAACGCAAAAUCCCUAUUCUUUCCAUAUAAGUCUUUUCUCUUCCGUCCUUUUUUCCUUUUCCUGUUAGUUAUAUAAACCCUAAAUUCUUUUUUUACCCUCAGUGCUGGGUAUUGAACCCAGAGCCCAGGGCAUUGCGCAUGCUAGGUAAAGCCCUGUAAAUCCCACAUUUAUUAUCACCUCUUUGGGUUACUCAUCGCUGAGUACUCCUGCGUGUGUGCACAGUGGACACCCUUUUCCCUUCCUUUUUUUGGGGAAUGGUGGAGGAGCGGGUACAGGGGAUUGAACUCAGGGGCACUCAACCACUGAGCCACAUCCCCAGCCCUAUUUUGUAUUUUAUUUAGAGACAGGGUCUCACUGAGUUGCUUAGGACCUCACUGUUGCUGAGGCUGGCUUUGAACUUGGGAUCCACCAGCCUCAGCCUCCUGAACCUGCUGGGAUUACAGGUGGCACCUGUAAUCCUGGCUCUUUUCCCUUAUUACAGUUUAAUUUCCCCUAAGACAAUAGAAUAAAAUGUUUUUACCUCCUGAAAAACUCUUGCUGAUGAGAUGGUGCAAGGGACAGGUAACUGAUUAUCAAAUAAAAAGAAAUGGGCAGAUAGCAGUUCCCACCAACCUGUCGCUAACAGCCCCCGGGGGAGGGGAAAGAUAGCACUUUCCAACACAAGAAAUCACCACCCCCAACAGCUUUCUUCCUGCCUUUUGGUCAUAUAGGCAGUAUGGGAGAGGGGGCACGAGAGGAAAGGAACCCCCCCUCUCCCUCAGGCACCAGCUCUGGACCCCCUCCUCUCUGGAGGACUCUAUCUCUGUUCUGUCUUUUAAAUAAAUAAUUGAAAGAC
This 1202-nucleotide long non-coding RNA is filed under the name Marmota monax (woodchuck). The record is from RNAcentral. Lineage: Eukaryota; Metazoa; Chordata; Mammalia; Rodentia; Sciuridae.